UCAUGAUGAAAUGAGACGCAAUAGCUGGAAUUACCGGCAGAUUGUCUAGUGGUGAACAUAGGGUUUUCUGAAG
RNAcentral lists this small nucleolar RNA (73 nucleotides) under Procavia capensis (Cape rock hyrax). Lineage: Eukaryota; Metazoa; Chordata; Mammalia; Hyracoidea; Procaviidae. The record is from RNAcentral.